AUGAUAGGCAUCGUCUACCGCGACCUCAAGCCAGCCGUCGCCGAGGAGGAGGAACAGGAGGAGCCGCGCAGCGCGUCCUGCUUCCCGAUACGUUUCAAGCGGCGGAGGCAUCGUCGCCGGUGCGCGCGUCUCCCCCGCGUAUGUGGCCCCGGAGGUGGCAGGCGGCGGCGCGCAGGGCGCCGCCGUGGACUGGUGGGCCUACGGCGUGUUCCUCUACGAGCUCCUCCACGGCCGCUCCGCGUUCGCCGGCGCCACCAACGGGACACACUCCGCAACAUCGUCCGCGCGCCGCUCACCUUCCCCUCCUCCUCUGUCACCGGCUACCACGCCGACACCACCGCGGCGCGGGACCUCAUCGCGCGCCUGCUCACCAAGGACCCCGCCGCCCGCCUCGGGUCCCGCCACGGCGGCGCCGACGUGAAGGCCCAUCCCUUCUUCAAGAACCUCAACUUCGCGCUCCUCCGGUCAUCGCGUCCGCCCUCGUCCCCAGCGCCCCGCUGCACCGAUCGCAGUCGUGCAAGACGCCGGCGUCGCGCAAGGCUGACACGAAGCGCUUCGACCUCUUCUGACCGGCCGGCCGACUGCUAUCGAGAAAAGCAUCACAUGGGUGUUGGAGCUGUCUGGUUACAGGGCUGUGGUUUCAGGAUACCUGAGGUGCUUUUACCUCUUGUUUUGGACAAAAAAGGGACCGAGUCCCUGGAGGAGAUGCGUUCUCCUGGCGGCCGUGACACGAGGCAGAAAAUCGAAUCGGAAAGAGAAAAUCUAUCAGGGUACACAUCCAUCAAGCAGAACAGGACAAGGCAAAAGCUAGCUUUAGGAGUUGGGCUUAGGAGCAACGCCACGUGA
Molecule: ribosomal RNA, 846 nt
Filed under: Triticum aestivum (bread wheat)
Lineage: Eukaryota; Viridiplantae; Streptophyta; Magnoliopsida; Poales; Poaceae
Description: partial small subunit ribosomal RNA
Source: RNAcentral